RNAcentral lists this ribosomal RNA (501 nucleotides) under uncultured Lachnospiraceae bacterium. Its description in RNAcentral is "partial 16S ribosomal RNA". Lineage: Bacteria; Bacillati; Bacillota; Clostridia; Lachnospirales; Lachnospiraceae. The record is from RNAcentral.
CACGUAGUUAGCCGGGGCUUCUUAGUCAGGUACCGUCAUUAUCUUCCCUGCUGAUAGAGCUUUACAUACCGAAAUACUUCUUCACUCACGCGGCGUCGCUGCAUCAGGGUUUCCCCCAUUGUGCAAUAUUCCCCACUGCUGCCUCCCGUAGGAGUCUGGGUCGUGUCUCAGUCCCAAUGUGGCCGUUCACUCUCUCAAGCCGGCUACUGAUCGUCGCCUUGGUAGGCCCGUUACCCCACCAACAAGCUAAUCAGACGCGGGUCCAUCUCACAGCGAUAAAUCUUUGAAAGGAUCGUCAUGCGGCAAUCCCUUGUUAUGCGGUAUUAGCAGCCGUUUCCGGCUGUUGUCCCCCUCUCGUGAGGCAGGUUACCCACGCGUUACUCACCCGUCCGCCACUCAGUCAUUACCAUCUUCCCUCCGAAAAGUUCCGUCGGUAGCGCUUCGUUCGACUUGCAUGUGUUAAGCACGCCGCCAGCGUUCAUCCUGAGCCAGGAUCAAACU